Molecule: ribosomal RNA, 231 nt
Filed under: uncultured bacterium
Lineage: Bacteria
Description: partial 16S ribosomal RNA
Rfam family: Bacterial small subunit ribosomal RNA
Source: RNAcentral
CGGGUGAGUAACGCGUGGGUAACCUGCCUCGUACAGGGGGAUAACAGUUAGAAAUGACUGCUAAUACCGCAUGAGCGCACAGUGCUGCAUGGCACAGUGUGAAAAACCCCGGUGGUAUGAGAUGGACCCGCGUCUGAUUAGCUAGUUGGUGGGGUAACGGCCUACCAAGGCGACGAUCAGUAGCCGGCCUGAGAGGGUGAACGGCCACAUUGGGACUGAGACACGGCCCAA